CGGGAGCUUGCUCCCUUAGGUCAGCGGCGGACGGGUGAGUAACACGUGGGUAACCUGCCUGUAAGACUGGGAUAACUCCGGGAAACCGGGGCUAAUACCGGAUGCUUGAUUGAACCGCAUGGUUCCAAUCAUAAAAGGUGGCUUUUAGCUACCACUUACAGAUGGACCCGCGGCGCAUUAGCUAGUUGGUGAGGUAACGGCUCACCAAGGCGACGAUGCGUAGCCGACCUGAGAGGGUGAUCGGCCACACUGGGACUGAGACACGGCCCAGACUCCUACGGGAGGCAGCAGUAGGGAAUCUUCCGCAAUGGACGAAAGUCUGACGGAGCAACGCCGCGUGAGUGAUGAAGGUUUUCGGAUCGUAAAACUCUGUUGUUAGGGAAGAACAAGUACCGUUCGAAUAGGGCGGCACCUUGACGGUACCUAACCAGAAAGCCACGGCUAACUACGUGCCAGCAGCCGCGGUAAUACGUAGGUGGCAAGCGUAGUCCGGAAUUAUUGGGCGUAAAGCGCGCG
This 516-nucleotide ribosomal RNA is filed under the name uncultured Bacilli bacterium. RNAcentral describes it as "bacterial SSU rRNA". It matches the Rfam family "Bacterial small subunit ribosomal RNA", at positions 73 to 571 of the family's 1533-position model. Lineage: Bacteria; Bacillati; Bacillota; Bacilli. The record is from RNAcentral.